UGCCAUGAGGACUAGAAACCUGGAAACCUACGUUUCCCAGCUACUCCAUCUCCCCACACCGCAGGCUUUCUGUUAUGUUCUGAUGAUGAACUACUGCAGGAACAUAUCAGGAAAGCCAAGAGAAUCCACAGACCCUUUGAAGGAACUGUACCACCCCUGCAGACUCCCUGAGAUGCCAAAAACUGUGAAUCUGCUUGCUUUCUCAACUGGGAGGCUCAUGGUCUGGGCUUAACUCCCACUUAUAAGUGAAAAUACGUAAUGGUCUCCAACUCCAUCCAGGUGUCUGUGAAUGCCAUUAUUUCAUUCCUUUAUAUAGGUUCCCCAGUGAGGAUUGUCAGGCCUCUGAGCCCAAGCUAAGCCAUCAUAUCCCCUGUGACCUGCACGUAUACAUCCAGAUGGCCUGAAGCAACUGAAGAUCCACAGAAGAAGUGAAAAUAGCCAGUUCCUGCCUUAACUGAUGACAUUCCACCAUUGUAAUUUGUUCCUGCCCCACCCUAACUGAUCAAUUGACUUUGUGACAAUACACCCUCCCUACCCUUGCGGUAAUGUAAUUUGUGAUAUUCCCUCACCCUUGUGAAGGUACUUUGUACUAUACACCCUCCCCACCCUUGAGAAGGUACUUUGUAAUAUUCUCCCCUGCCCUUAGGAAUGUACUUUGUAAGAUCCACCCCCUGCCCACAAAAAAUUGCUCCUAACUCCACCGCCUAUCCCAAACCUGUAAGAACUAAUGAUAAUCCCACC
RNAcentral lists this long non-coding RNA (741 nucleotides) under Homo sapiens (human). Its description in RNAcentral is "long independently transcribed non-coding RNA 2469 (LINC02469)". Lineage: Eukaryota; Metazoa; Chordata; Mammalia; Primates; Hominidae. The record is from RNAcentral.